UACAGAGGUCUCAAGCGUUGUUCGGAUUCAUUGGGCGUAAAGGGCGCGUAGGCUGCGGGGCAAGUCGGGUGUGAAAUCUCAGGGCUCAACCCUGAAACUGCACUCGAUACUGCUCUGCUUGAGGACUGGAGAGGAGACUGGAAUUCCACGUGUAGCGGUGAAAUGCGUAGAGAUGUGGAGGAACACCAGUGGCGAAGGCGACUCUUUGGUCUGUAACUGACGCUGAGGCGCGAAAGCGUGGGGAGCAAACAGG
Molecule: ribosomal RNA, 253 nt
Filed under: uncultured bacterium
Lineage: Bacteria
Description: partial 16S ribosomal RNA
Rfam family: Bacterial small subunit ribosomal RNA
Source: RNAcentral